This 465-nucleotide ribosomal RNA is filed under the name Vreelandella stevensii. Its description in RNAcentral is "partial 16S ribosomal RNA". It matches the Rfam family "Bacterial small subunit ribosomal RNA", at positions 338 to 795 of the family's 1533-position model. Lineage: Bacteria; Pseudomonadati; Pseudomonadota; Gammaproteobacteria; Oceanospirillales; Halomonadaceae. The record is from RNAcentral.
CCUACGGGCGGCAGCAGUGGGGAAUAUUGGACAAUGGGGGGAACCCUGAUCCAGCCAUGCCGCGUGUGUGAAGAAGGCCCUUGGGUUGUAAAGCACUUUCAGUGAGGAAGAACGCCUGGUGGUUAAUACCCAUCAGGAAAGACAUCACUCACAGAAGAAGCACCGGCUAACUCCGUGCCAGCAGCCGCGGUAAUACGGAGGGUGCGAGCGUUAAUCGGAAUUACUGGGCGUAAAGCGCGCGUAGGUGGCUUGAUAAGCCGGUUGUGAAAGCCCCGGGCUCAACCUGGGAACGGCAUCCGGAACUGUCAAGCUAGAGUGCAGGAGAGGAAGGUAGAAUUCCCGGUGUAGCGGUGAAAUGCGUAGAGAUCGGGAGGAAUACCAGUGGCGAAGGCGGCCUUCUGGACUGACACUGACACUGAGGUGCGAAAGCGUGGGUAGCAAACAGGAUUAGAUACCCUAGUAGUC